CCUACGGGUGGCAGCAGUGGGGAAUAUUGCACAAUGGGGGAAACCCUGAUGCAGCGACGCCGCGUGAGCGAUGAAGUAUUUCGGUAUGUAAAGCUCUAUCAGCAGGGAAGAAAAUGACGGUACCUGACUCAGAAGCCCCGGCUAACUACGGUCCAGCAGCCGCGGUUAUACGGAGGGGGCAAGCGUUAUCCGGGUUUUCUGGGGGUAAAGGGGGCGUAGACGGGGGUGCAAGCUAGAGGUGAAAGCCCGGGGCUCAACCCCGGGACUGCAUUGGGAACUGUGCGGCUAGAGUGUAGGAGAGGCAGGCGGAAUUCCUAGUGUAGCGGUGAAAUGCGUAGAUAUUAGGAGGAACACCAGUGGCGAAGGCGGCCUGCCGCAGCGUUACUGACGCUGAAGCUCGAAAGCGCGGGUAGCGAACAGGAUUAGAUACCCCGGUAGUC
This 440-nucleotide ribosomal RNA is filed under the name uncultured bacterium. RNAcentral's name for it is "partial 16S ribosomal RNA". It matches the Rfam family "Bacterial small subunit ribosomal RNA", at positions 338 to 795 of the family's 1533-position model. The record is from RNAcentral.